CCUGGUACAGGCAAAAAUGACCAGAUGGGGGAGUGUUGGCCCAGUCAGAAGGGCCAGACAACUCCAGGUCGUACUCCGGAGGAACUCCAUACUGAACCCUUAUCAGAAGGAGUUCCUCCAAGGUCAGGGAACAUGGAAUGGCGCCCGGUGCAAAAACUGGGUGGAGCCCAGCCCCAGACGCAGGUUCGUCUACAGAGCAGGGGACCUGGGGGUGUGAGGCGGAAGAGCUCCCAGAACUGCAAGGAGCGAAAGAGCCGAAUGACAUUUCGGGUAGUUUUGAAGGAGGGCUUUAAAGGUCCCUAAGAAGACGGACAGGAUGGGGGAUGAGAGGCCACAGGAAACUAACUCGGAGGGAUGCAAAAAAUAAUGACAGAGAAGAAGUCCCUAGGCGGUGGGAAGAAGGUUGAAGGUGCUGGAACUAACCUAUAUCGCUCUGAGGGACCAGAGGGACGAAGACAGGGAUGAUUUGGAAGACACCUACGGCUCGAGAAGAUGCCCACUGAAACAGGGCUCUCGAAGAGAAGGCAGACACUGAUA
RNAcentral lists this long non-coding RNA (537 nucleotides) under Elaeis guineensis (African oil palm). Its description in RNAcentral is "long non-coding RNA (EGUI_LNC070804)". The record is from RNAcentral. Lineage: Eukaryota; Viridiplantae; Streptophyta; Magnoliopsida; Arecales; Arecaceae.